Molecule: ribosomal RNA, 2899 nt
Filed under: Clostridioides difficile
Lineage: Bacteria; Bacillati; Bacillota; Clostridia; Peptostreptococcales; Peptostreptococcaceae
Description: 23S ribosomal RNA
Rfam family: Bacterial large subunit ribosomal RNA
Source: RNAcentral
UCAAGUUAUUAAGGGUGCAGGGCGGAUGCCUUGGCACUAGGAGCCGAUGAAGGACGUGAUAAGCUGCGAUAAGCUUCGGGGAGUUGCACGUAAACUUUGAUCCGAAGAUUUCCGAAUGAGGAAACUCACUUAGAGUAAUGUCUAAGUAUCAUUAAGUGAAUACAUAGCUUAAUGAGGGGAACUCAGGGAACUGAAACAUCUAAGUACCUGAAGGAAGAGAAAGAAAUUCGAUUCCGUAAGUAGCGGCGAGCGAACGCGGAUUAGCCCAAACCAAUAAAGUUUUCUUUAUUGGGGUUGCGGACAUAUCAUAACGAAGAGGUAUCGUAAUUGAAGAGGUUUGGAAAGACCCACCACAGAAGGUAAUAGUCCUGUAUGUUAAACGAGAAGACUUCAGAUAUGAUCCAGAGUACCACGGGACACGUGAAACCCUGUGGGAAGCAGGAGGGACCACCCUCCAAGGCUAAAUACUACCUAGUGACCGAUAGCGUAUAGUACCGUGAGGGAAAGGUGAAAAGAACCCCGGGAGGGGAGUGAAAUAGAACCUGAAACCCUGCACUUACAAGCUGUGGAAGCACAUUUCUUGUGUGACCGCGUACUUUUUGUAGAACGGGCCAACGAGUUACGUUAAGUAGCAAGGUUAAGCACUUAAGGUGCGGAGCCGUAGCGAAAGCGAGUUUUAACUGAGCGUUCAGUUACUUGACGUAGACCCGAAACCGGGCGACCUACCCAUGAGCAGGAUGAAGCGAAAGUAAAAUUUCGUGGAGGUCCGAACCCACGAGCGUUGAAAAGCUCGGGGAUGACUUGUGGGUAGCGGUGAAAUUCCAAUCGAGCCCGGAGAUAGCUGGUUCUCCCCGAAAUAGCUUUAGGGCUAGCCUCAAGGUGAGAGAUACGGAGGUAGAGCACUGAAUGUCCUAGGGGGUAUUGCACCUACCGAAGACUAUCAAACUCCGAAUGCCGUCAUCUUAUACUUGGGAGUCAGACUGUGGGUGAUAAGAUUCAUAGUCGAAAGGGCAACAGCCCAGAUCGUCAGCUAAGGUCCCUAAAUGUAAGUUAAGUGGUAAAGGAUGUGGGAUUGCACAGACAACCAGGAUGUUGGCUUAGAAGCAGCCACUCAUUCAAAGAGUGCGUAAUAGCUCACUGGUCGAGUGAUCCUGCGCCGAAGAUUUCCGGGGCUAAAACUUACUACCGAAGCUACGGCAUCAGUAAUGAUGGGUAGGGGAGCUUCCCAUACGGGUUGAAGCAUGACCGUAAGGACAUGUGGACAGUAUGGGAGUGAGAAUGUUGGCAUGAGUAGCGAGAUGUGGGUGAGAAUCCCACAGGCCGUAAACCCAAGGUUUCCAGGGGAAGGUUCGUCCGCCCUGGGUUAGUCGGGACCUAAGCUGAGGCCGAAAGGCGUAGGUGAUGGACAACAGGUUGAUAUUCCUGUACUACCGAUAACCGUUUGAGAGAAGGGAUGACACAGUAGGAUAAGCUAAGCACACUGUUGGUUAUGUGUGCCCAAGCAUUGAGGCAGUCAAAGUAGGCAAAUCCGCUUUGAUAAUGCUGGGAUGUGAUGGGGAGCGAAAUUUAGUAGCGAAGUAGCUGAUUUCACACUGUCAAGAAAAGUCUCUAUCGAGGUUAAAGGUACCCGUACCGCAAACCGACACAGGUGGGUGAGGAGAGUAUCCUAAGGCCAGCGAGAGAACUGUUGUUAAGGAACUCGGCAAAAUGACCCCGUAACUUAGGGAUAAGGGGUGCCACCAUCAGGUGGCCGCAGAGAAUAGGCCCAAGCGACUGUUUACCAAAAACAUAGGUUUCUGCUAAGUCGCAAGACGAUGUAUAGGAGCUGACGCCUGCCCGGUGCUGGAAGGUUAAGGGGAUCUGUUAGAGCAAUCGAAGCAGUGAACUUAAGCCCCAGUAAACGGCGGCCGUAACUAUAACGGUCCUAAGGUAGCGAAAUUCCUUGUCGGGUAAGUUCCGACCCGCACGAAAGGCGUAACGAUUUGGGCACUGUCUCAACAACAGACUCGGUGAAAUUGUAAUUCCGGUGAAGAUGCCGGAUACCUGCGACAGGACGGAAAGACCCCAUGGAGCUUUACUGUAGCUUGACAUUGGGUCUUGGUACUACAUGUACAGGAUAGGUGGGAGGCUUUGAAACCAGGACGCCAGUUUUGGCGGAGCCAUCCUUGGGAUACCACCCUUGUAGUACUGGGACUCUAACCAUAGGCCAUGAAUCUGGUCUUGGGACACUGUCAGGUGGGCAGUUUGACUGGGGCGGUCGCCUCCCAAAAGGUAACGGAGGCGCUCAAAGGUUCUCUCAGUACGGUCGGAAAUCGUACGUAGAGUGUAAAGGCAAAAGAGAGCUUGAUUGCAAGACAUACAGGUCGAGCAAGGAUGAAAAUCGGACUUAGUGAUCCGGUGGUUCUGCGUGGAAGGGCCAUCGCUCAACGGAUAAAAGCUACCCUGGGGAUAACAGGCUUAUCUCCCCCAAGAGUCCACAUCGACGGGGAGGUUUGGCACCUCGAUGUCGGCUCAUCACAUCCUGGGGCUGUAGUAGGUCCCAAGGGUUGGGCUGUUCGCCCAUUAAAGUGGUACGCGAGCUGGGUUCAGAACGUCGUGAGACAGUUCGGUCCCUAUCCGUCGCAGGCGUAGGAAAUUUGAGAAGACCUGUCCUUAGUACGAGAGGACCGGGAUGGACGUACCUCUGGUGUACCAGUUGUNNNNCUGCCAAGGGCAUGGCUGGGUAGCUAUGUACGGAAUGGAUAAGCGCUGAAAGCAUCUAAGCGCGAAGCCAACUUCAAGAUAAGAUUUCCCACCGCAAGGGUAAGACCCCAGAAAGACUAUCUGGUUGAUAGGUCGAAGGUGUAAGUGCAGCAAUGUAUUUAGCUUAUCGAUACUAAUAGGUCGAGGACUUGACCAA